This 497-nucleotide ribosomal RNA is filed under the name uncultured bacterium. Its description in RNAcentral is "partial 16S ribosomal RNA". It matches the Rfam family "Bacterial small subunit ribosomal RNA", at positions 28 to 507 of the family's 1533-position model. The record is from RNAcentral.
GAUGAACGCUGGCGGCGUGCCUAACACAUGCAAGUCGAACGAAAAGAGGAGGAGCUUUUCCUCUUGACGUUAGCGGGGGGCGGGUGUGUGACACGUGGAUAACACACCUAUUUUUCGGGGGGAAUAUCGUGAGACCGGAUACAAUACUGGACAAUAUGUUCAACCGCUGGAUUCAGUAGUGAUUGACGGUUUUCGCGAUUCAUAUAGCUGGAUCCGAGCCGGAUUAGCUAGUUGGUAAGGUAACGGCCUACCAAGGCAACGAUGCGUAGCCGACCGGAGAGGUGGAUCGGCCACACUGGAACGGAGACACGGUCCAGACUCCUACGGGAGGCAGCAGUAGGGAAUCUUCGGCCUUGGGCGCCAGCCUGCCGCCGCACCGCCGCGUGGGUGAUGAAGGUCUUCGGUUCGUAAAGCCCUUUUAUUGGGGAAGAACAACUGUGUGCGUAAAUAUGGACGUCUUGACGGUACCCGCUCAGAAAGCCACGGCUCCCUACGUG